RNAcentral lists this ribosomal RNA (500 nucleotides) under uncultured Glomeromycotina. Its description in RNAcentral is "partial small subunit ribosomal RNA". It matches the Rfam family "Eukaryotic small subunit ribosomal RNA", at positions 591 to 1092 of the family's 1831-position model. Lineage: Eukaryota; Fungi; Glomeromycota. The record is from RNAcentral.
CCAAUAGCGUAUAUUAAAGUUGUUGCAGUUAAAAAGCUCGUAGUUGAAUUUCGGGGUUAGUAGGUUGGUCGUGCCUAUGGUAUGUACUGGCUUUACUGAUUCCUCCUUCUUGAAGAACUGUAAUGUCAUUAAUUUGGUGUUGCAGGGACACAGGACUGUUACUUUGAAAAAAUUAGAGUGUUUAAAGCAGGCUAACGCUUGAAUACAUUAGCAUGGAAUAAUGAAAUAGGACGUUUGAUCCUAUUUUGUUGGUUUCUAGGAUUGACGUAAUGGUUAAUAGGGAUAGUUGGGGGCAUUAGUAUUCAAUUGUCAGAGGUGAAAUUCUUGGAUUUAUUGAAGACUAACUACUGCGAAAGCAUUUGCCAAGGAUGUUUUCAUUAAUCAAGAACGAAAGUUAGGGGAUCGAAGACGAUCAGAUACCGUCGUAGUCUUAACCAUAAACUAUGCCGACUAGGGAUCGGAUGAUGUUAAUUUUUUAAUGACUCAUUCGGCGCCUUACG